UGGUUCUGGCAUCGAUGAAGAACGCAGCGAAAUGCGAUAAGUAAUGUGAAUUGCAGAAUUCAGUGAAUCAUCGAAUCUUUGAACGCACAUUGCGCCCAUUAGUAUUCUAGUGGGCAUGCCUGUUCGAGCGUCAUUUCAACCCUUAAGCCUAGCUUAGCGUUGGGAAUCUACUGUCCGGGUGCAGCUACCCUGUAGCUGCCUACCCUGUAGUUCCUCAAAAUCAACGGCGGAACAGUGGUAUCCUCUGAGCGUAGUAAACUUUUAUCUCGCUUUUGUUAGGUGCUGCUGCUUCGGCCGCUAAACCCCCCAAAUUUUAAUGGUUGACCUCGGAUCAGGUAGGAAUACCCGCUGA
RNAcentral lists this unclassified non-coding RNA (352 nucleotides) under uncultured fungus. RNAcentral's name for it is "partial contains 5.8S ribosomal RNA and internal transcribed spacer 2". The stretch from base 1 to 133 matches the Rfam family "5.8S ribosomal RNA", at positions 22 to 154 of the family's 154-position model. Lineage: Eukaryota; Fungi. The record is from RNAcentral.